Cyprinus carpio carpio is the source of this 2630-nucleotide long non-coding RNA. The record is from Ensembl. NCBI's taxonomy places the organism in Eukaryota, Metazoa, Chordata, Actinopteri, Cypriniformes, Cyprinidae.
UAUAUAUAUAUAUAUAUAUACACACACACAUAUAUUAUAUAUAUCUAUUAUAUAUCAUUAUUCCAUAUUUUUCACACGUCUAAAAAAAAGUCGUAUUAAUGCCUCCACUUUUGAAUAUGAAUCUAAUCAGCUGUAAUCUGGAUGAAUAAGUGUGUUCUGACAUGGGUGCCACAAAUUGCUCUGCACUUCACGGCAAUUUAUGUGUCAACUGUCAUUGUUUCACAUGAACGCCGUUGAGGGUACUAAUUACCGUUAUCAUCCUUCCCGAUGGUGGAAUUCGCUUGAAUUCCACUCUUUUUGUUUGUGAAAUGAGUGAUGUAGGUUACAGGCAGGGUCUAUACUGUCAUCAGCAUAUUUGAUAGUCAAAUUGAAUAUGUCAAUGCAAAUAUUAUAAUGUAAAGAAAUGCUUGAGUCAGUGGGACUGUAAAGGUACCUGCCUUCAGUUACCAUAGCAAGCAUAGUCCUGUUUUUGUUGAAGACAGCACGGAACAUAUUGCACCAAAUUCUUUUAAGCUUAUGUGCAGAAAUGUGACAGCAGAGGAGAAUAUACACAGUAUAGGAUUUCUUUGUAUGUGGAAUCUUGCCAAGUACAACAUUAAUCCAGACCAUCACGAGGUGAGACGUUAAAUAUACACGCACUCAUGCACCUCUGUUUUUGUUCUGCUCUUUGUUCAUUCAGUAUGUGCAUGAGUGUGGAAGGUACUUCAAAGGGUAAUUAUAAAUUUACUGCUUCGUUUCUUCCAAAUAUGAGCAUAAAUUUAGUUAACAUAUGUAUUCAUGUGAAGCAAGUUUUAUUUGUGUAGUGCUUUUCACAACACACAUUGUUCCAAAGCAGCUUUAAAGCUAGAGCCUAUCAGCGACUAUAGAUGUUAGGGAGGAGGCACAUAGACAUUGACAUAGUGCAUAUGUUAUUGCAAAUGUUACUUACACUAAAACUAAUACAAAAUAUAAAAUCAAAAUGGAAAAAACAAACAAAUUUUUAAAACUAUAAAAGAUAAACGAUGCAAAGUAGAAGAACAAACAUGAAAUGCAAUACACAGUUUUGUAGAGAUAUAAAUCCAUCUAAUAUAAUAAGAGCAUUACCACAAUAAAACAUGCAUGUAGUAUAACAUCUGAACAUAAGGUCCAGUCUUUAUGAAAGCAGAACCAUAUGAUAGAAUUUUGUGAAAAAAAUAAAAAUAAUAAUAGAAUAGAUGCAGUCAGUCCCACGUUGUCUGGUGCAUAUCUGUCAUAUUUGUGUCCAAGGAUGCUAAUAUUAAAAAUGUACAGAUUCUGUUAAGAAAAUCCAUUGCCAGACAGACAGUGCAGCUCAAUAGAAAUCCACAGCCUCCUCUUGUGUUAGAACAGUAGAGCCUGCUGUCAUCCUUGCCAGACAGUUUCUUCUUUUUUUCUGACAGACAGUUGGAAGUGAUUGCAUUUUGCAUGAAUGCCUCAUUACUCACAGGUCAACUACUGGGCAGUAUAAGACACGGAGACUUGACAGAAGGCUGUAAAAGACAAACACACAGAAAACCUGCUCGUAGUGUCUGUGUGUGGAGCCCGGCAGCUAAGUUUCUUUUGAAAAACAUACAAAUGACAAGAAACAUUAAUAGGCUUUUGUAAAGCAAUUGAGCUAAAUUGAUUUUAAUGAAAUUAAUAAAUGUUCGGGGUUCAGACACACUUCCUCUGUUUAAAUCUAGAUUAAAAACACACCUCUUUGGCCAAGCAUUCAAAUAAUGCAUCUCAUAAUUUUGGACUGCAGUUAUAUCUGAUCAAAUGUGCAUUAUUAUUCUUUAGCUUGGGUUAAACUAAUUAAUUUUACUUGGCUGGAACAGCAGCUACGCUAAUUAUGUCUCUAUUUGUUUCUCUGCUUUGCCACGGGAUUUACAUCCCGUGGUAACUAGGAUUUACACAAGCUCCAGUCUGGAUCCAGAACACCUGAGAAGAGAUGAUGCCAACCCCUCAGAGGACCUCAGAUGAUGCUAACCCAGAGACAACAUACAGAACUACCACAUUUUGCUAUAAGUUUGAUUGCAUAAUUGCUGUUAAUAGUGUAAAUCGUCUGUUUGUUUACGUCUUUUAUUGAUUUUUCCGAACAUUUCUGCCAUAUGCACAUGAACUGACAGUCACCACUGAUAAGCUACUACUAAAUAUUGUAGAAACUUAACUUUCUGUAAAGUUGCUUUGUAAUGAUUUGUAUCGUAAAAAGCGCUAUACAAAUUAACUUGAAUUGAAUCGAAUUGAAUUGAAUAUGUAUUUUAGCUAAAAUGAAUCUUGAUGCUGUUUAUUCCUGUGGCCUCUUGAACUUCUUGUUAGGCCACCAUGAUCCAGGAGAUAGUAAGGAAACAUAAAUCAGAAAUGUUUUUCUUUCUUUAAGAAACACUUGUUAGAGAGGAUUGUGUUAAAGACAUUGGCUUGGAGGCAAAGGAUAUAAUUGUAAUUAACAAAAUUAAUUUAAGCAUAAUUGUUCCAUGGAGCUUUACUGACUGCAAGAAAGUCUAGAAUUUAGAAUCAAACAGGCAAAAACUCAUUUGGUGUUAAAUCAGUUUUCACUGACUAAAUACUGUUUUUUUUUAAGAUAAUAUUAUAUGUGCAGUGCAGGGAUUACAUAUACUGUACAGUCAGCUGAUGAUUAUCACUAAAUAAACCCC